GGAAUCUUCCGCAAUGGACGAAAGUCUGACGGAGCAACGCCGCGUGAGUGAUGAAGGUUUUCGGAUCGUAAAGCUCUGUUGUUAGGGAAGAACAAGUACCGUUCGAAUAGGGCGGUACCUUGACGGUACCUAACCAGAAAGCCACGGCUAACUACGUGCCAGCAGCCGCGGUAAUACGUAGGUGGCAAGCGUUGUCCGGAAUUACUGGGCGUAAAGGGCUCGCAGGCGGUUUCUUAAGUCUGAUGUGAAAGCCCCCGGCUCAACCGGGGAGGGUCAUUGGAAACUGGGGAACUUGAGUGCAGAAGAGGAGAGUGGAAUUCCACGUGUAGCGGUGAAAUGCGUAGAGAUGUGGAGGAACACCAGUGGCGAAGGCGACUCUCUGGUCUGUAACUGACGCUGAGGAGCGAAAGCGUGGGGAGCGAACAGGA
Molecule: unclassified non-coding RNA, 428 nt
Filed under: plant metagenome
Description: partial contains 5.8S ribosomal RNA, internal transcribed spacer 2, and large subunit ribosomal RNA
Rfam family: Bacterial small subunit ribosomal RNA
Source: RNAcentral